Molecule: long non-coding RNA, 676 nt
Filed under: Cricetulus griseus (Chinese hamster)
Lineage: Eukaryota; Metazoa; Chordata; Mammalia; Rodentia; Cricetidae
Description: lncRNA (ENSCGRG00015041394.1)
Source: RNAcentral
CAAGGAGAGUCAUCUGAGAAGAGGGAACCUCAAUUGAAAAAAGAAAAAGUUUCCAUACGAUCAGCCUGCAGGCAAGCCUGUGGAGAAUUCUCUUGACUGACGAUUGAUGUGAAGACCUGAUCCUCCUGUGGGUUGUGCCACUCCUAGGCUAAUGGUCCUGAGGUGCAGAAGAAAGUAAACUGAACAAGCCAGAAGUAUUAAGCAAGUAGACAGCAUUCUUCCCUGCUCUCUGUCUCAGUUCCUGCCCCGCAGGUCCUGCCUAGGCUUCCCUCAGUGAUGGACUAUCGUCUGGAAGUGUUCAGCGUGUAUCCAAAUUUAACCUGCUAUCAGAAGAAAUCUGCCUCCUCUUGAACAUCAAAUAGCAUUUAUACAAAUCAUCUAUGACCCUUGUAGCCUGCUUCCUUCACUGCUAUAUUUUAUUAAAUAAUAGGUUUUACUUCACUUGUGUAAUGCUCAUUUACAUGGUCCUGUGUUAUGGAAGGAUAUCAUUAUAUAAGUAUAUUAUGAACUUACUAAGUAUUUUGAGUUUAUUCCCCUUCCACCCCUCCAUUUGUCUCCUUCAUUGCCCUACAAAGUUUGCUUCUGUUUUUACAUAAUAUAUUUAUGCAUCAUUUUAUGUACCUAUAUAAAAACCUAGGAGCCAAAAAUGGAAAAAACAUGUGGUUGUUUGAAUGAG